GAUGAAGAACGUAGCGAAAUGCGAUAAGUAGUGUGAAUUGCAGAAUUCAGUGAAUCAUCGAAUCUUUGAACGCACAUUGCGCCCCUUGGUAUCCCGAGGGGCAUGCCUGUUCGAGCGUCAUUUCACCACUCAAGCCUGGCUUGGUGUUGGGCGACGUCCUCUUUGGGGACGCGCCUCGAAACGCUCGGGGGCGUGGCACCGGCUUUAAGCGUAGCAGAAUCUUUCGCUUUGGAAGUCGGGGCCCCGUCUGCCGGAAGACCUGCUCGCAAGGUUGACCUCGGAUCAGGCAGGGAUACCCGCUGAACUUAAGCAUAUCAAUAAGCGGAGGA
RNAcentral lists this unclassified non-coding RNA (329 nucleotides) under soil metagenome. RNAcentral describes it as "partial contains 5.8S ribosomal RNA, internal transcribed spacer 2, and large subunit ribosomal RNA". The stretch from base 1 to 120 matches the Rfam family "5.8S ribosomal RNA", at positions 35 to 154 of the family's 154-position model. The record is from RNAcentral.